AGCGAACGUUUGCGGCGGGCCUAACACAUGCAAGUCGAACGCACUAGCAAUAGUGAGUGGCGCACGGGUGCGUAACACGUGGGUAAUCAACCCUUCAGCUUGGGAUAACGACUUGAAAGGGUCGCUAAUACCGGAUACGGCGCGAGAGGCUUCGGCUUCUCACGAGAAAGCCUCGCAAGGGGCACUGAAGGACGAGCCUGCGGCCCAUCAGCUAGUUGGUGAGGUAAGAGCUCACCAAGGCUAAGACGGGUAGCUGGUCUGAGAGGAUGAUCAGCCACACUGGAACUGAGACACGGUCCAGACUCCUACGGGAGGCAGCAGUGGGGAAUAUUGCGCAAUGGGCGAAAGCCUGACGCAGCCACGCCGCGUGAGCGAUGAAGGCCUUCGGGUCGUAAAGCUCUGUGGGGAGAGACGAAGAAAGCCCGUGAAGAGCGGGCCUUGGCGGUAUCUCCUUAGCAAGCACCGGCUAACUCCGUG
RNAcentral lists this ribosomal RNA (477 nucleotides) under uncultured bacterium. RNAcentral describes it as "bacterial SSU rRNA". It matches the Rfam family "Bacterial small subunit ribosomal RNA", at positions 29 to 507 of the family's 1533-position model. The record is from RNAcentral.